AUUGAACGCUGGCGGCAUGCUUUACACAUGCAAGUCGAACGGUAACAGGCCGCAAGGUGCUGACGAGUGGCGUACGGCGGGGUAAUGCAUCCGAACGUUCCCAGUCGCGGGGGGUAACUACUCCAAAGAGUAGCUAAUACCGCAUACGAAAUAUGGUUUAAAGCGGGGGUGCGUAAGCGCUCGCUCGGUUGGAGCGGACGAUGUCAGCCUAGGUAGUUGGGGGUGUAAAGGUACUCCAAGCCAACGAUCUGUAGCUGGUCUAAGAGGACAAGCCGCCACCUGGGGACUGAGACACGGCCCAGACUCCUACGCGAGGCAGCAGUGGGGAAUUUUGGACAAUGGGCGAAAGCCUGAUACAGCAAUGCGGCGUGCAGGAAGAAGGCCUUCGGGUGGUAAACUGCUGUUGUACGGAGCGAAACAGAUCUGGUUAAUACCCGAGGAUAAUGACGGUACCGGAAGAAUAAGCACCGGCUAACUACGUG
This 482-nucleotide ribosomal RNA is filed under the name uncultured bacterium. RNAcentral's name for it is "partial 16S ribosomal RNA". It matches the Rfam family "Bacterial small subunit ribosomal RNA", at positions 30 to 507 of the family's 1533-position model. The record is from RNAcentral.